UACGGAGGGUGCAAGCGUUGUCCGGAAUCACUGGGCGUAAAGGGCGCGUAGGCGGCUCGGUAAGUCGGGGGUGAAAUCCUGCGGCUCAACCGCAGGGCUGCCUUCUAAACUGUCGAGCUCGAGCACGGUAGAGGCAGAUGGAAUUCCCGGUGUAGCGGUGGAAUGCGUAGAGAUCGGGAAGAACAUCAGUGGCGAAGGCGGUCUGCUGGGCCGUUGCUGACGCUGAGGCGCGACAGCGUGGGGAGCAAACAGG
RNAcentral lists this ribosomal RNA (253 nucleotides) under uncultured bacterium. RNAcentral describes it as "partial 16S ribosomal RNA". It matches the Rfam family "Bacterial small subunit ribosomal RNA", at positions 524 to 776 of the family's 1533-position model. The record is from RNAcentral.